RNAcentral lists this non-coding RNA (26 nucleotides) under Homo sapiens (human). Lineage: Eukaryota; Metazoa; Chordata; Mammalia; Primates; Hominidae. The record is from RNAcentral.
UGAACAGAGGAUUUGUGAGCCUUCAA